This 4185-nucleotide long non-coding RNA is filed under the name Olea europaea subsp. europaea. The record is from RNAcentral. Lineage: Eukaryota; Viridiplantae; Streptophyta; Magnoliopsida; Lamiales; Oleaceae.
CUCUCCAGAGCCGAAGGUAUAUUCAGAUAACCUUUCUUCGAGAAAAAAAAAAAAUAAAAAAAUAGCCAUUUUCAAGAAAAAUAAGAAUUUCCUUUAGUGUUUUCAAAUAGUAAGCGUUCUGAAUUUCUUGUUGACUGUGUCUCUUCUGAUUAUCAGUAUGUUUAUCACCAUUAUUUUUUCUGGGUAGGAAAGAUCUGUUUUCCUGAAACAAAUGGAAUGUACAAAUUGAGAUCUGGGAUUACAACCAUUGAAGUUGCAUCUUAUAUUAUUUGUGAAUUUAUGUGUGUUGAUGAUACUCCUAACCUGAAUCCAAGAAAGAGAUUUGAUUUUGAUUAUCUGAAACCUAUAAUUCUAGUACGUUCUUUUACAUUCAAAGAGCUUUUGAUUCUACUCGCCAUCAAAACUUGAUUCCAGAUCCCCUUUAGCUUUUUAACUAAUAAAGCCAAUAUUAUUUUGAUCAGAUAUUUGCAAAGAUGAGGGGAGGUGGGUUGUGGCAACUUGGUCAAUCAUUUACUCGCCGUCUGGCUCAGGAUAAGAAAACUAUAGUUCGUCGAUGCUUUGCAUCAGAAACUGAGCUCAAGAAGACAGCUCUCUAUGAUUUCCAUGUUGCCAAUGGGGGGAAGAUGGUUCCAUUUGCUGGUUGGAGCAUGCCAAUCCAAUACAAGGACUCAAUUAUGGACUCUACGUUAAACUGCAGGGAAAAUGGCAGUCUAUUUGACGUUGCUCACAUGUGUGGUCUAAGCCUCAAAGGAAAGGAUUGCAUUCCUUUUCUUGAAAAGCUGGUGGUUGCCGAUGUUGCUGGUCUUGCACCUGGGACUGGGACUCUGACAGUCUUCACUAAUGAGAAGGGAGGGGCUAUUGAUGAUUCAGUGAUCACCAAGGUGACAGAUGAUCACAUAUACUUGGUCGUGAAUGCUGGAUGCAGAGACAAGGAUCUUGCUCAUAUUGAGGAACAUAUGAAGGCAUUCACGUUGAAAGGUGGGGAUGUGUCGUGGCACAUCCACGAUGAGCGGUCUCUUCUGGCUCUCCAAGUGAGUUAUUGCUUUUCUUCGGUGAUUAUCUGUGAAAGUUAACCUAAUCAAUAUUAUUAAUCGAUUUAGAUAAUGUUUAGACUCUAGAACAUGCACAAUGGAAUUAAAAUUAGCAACUAAAAGUAAUAAGUCACUUUUCAAUUGUUUUUAGGUGGUUAAUCAAUCACGUCAAUUUAUCCUAUUUUAAAUUAUUACAAUUUGUAAUACAAAAGCAAUAAAGAACACCAAAUUGAUCAUGGAGAAAACCCUUCGCAAAGGGUCAAAAACUCUGGGCUCUUUGCCGGUCAAUAAUCCACUAUAAACGAAACAACUUACAGUAUGGUCUAGACCCGACUAACCAUUAAUACCCUUUGGCCUUCUUUUCUUGUAGUCACCCUUGAUCCUACUGGACUGCUUGCUCCUUACACCAGAUCCCGACUCCUGGAAUAUCGCCUUGACCCUCUUGGACUGCGUGCUCCUCACACUAAUCCCGACCCUUGGUAUAUAACCUUAGCCCUCCUAGACUACAUGAUUCUGCACCAUCUCCCGAUCCUUGGUAUUGUUUAUCUCAGGUGGUUUGGUGUUUGAUCAAAAGACCUCCCAUGUUUUGAUCUUGUGGUUUAAUAUGGAACAAUAUAUGUUUUAGAAGAAUUUAUAAAUCAAGUAAUGUGGUGGUUGAAUCUUGAAAUCAGUGGAUGUUUUGAAUUAUCAAAGAAUUGAUUCCUUUGGGAUUCAACACACUAUGUGAUGUCUAUUGGUCAGUAUAUAUAGGGAAAAGUAUUUGGAAUGGAAAGGGUGAUUUUUGCAAACAGGGAUUUCUGGAUGUCGACUAUUGCUUGAGCGCAAGGUGAGCGGCCCGCUUGUCGCUCAAGCACCAGUCUAGUGUUAGACGGGCAACAGAUGUUCUGUUUCUAUCUCUAGAGCGCCUGCUGGGCGGCAGGCUAGUGGAAAUGAGUAAUUCUCAAUAUCAACUUCUUUAAGUCCAAAUCUUGAUCUUCUUCUUGUAUUUCUUUGACUUCAUUUUGGACUCUAUCAACCCCAAACAAUACUUACCAUAACUUGGACUAUUCUAAACCAAUUCAGGCUUUGAUUACAAUAUAAUCAAAUCCUAAUACAACUCUAAUAAAUUAUGAUUUUUGUCUUAGGAAAUUGCCAAUUACAAAAUAGACUUUACAAUCUGGAUAUUAUAUGAUAAUAAAAUUUAAAACUUUAAUCUUAAUGCUAUUGAACAUGAAUGGUAUUCAUGAAUUGGGCCCUAUCCUUAUAAAAACUCAAAUAUAUUAAUAAAAGUGAUUGCUUUACAUAAUGACAUUGUGGUAUUCGUGUAUCGUAGCUGGCCAAAAUGUCGAGAUCAAUAAUCAUGAUAUUUGUUGCCUCUUUAUCAUAUCUCACAUUUAUAUUUUUUUUCCUUGUCCUGCCUUGUUCGCAGAUGUUUGCCCAUGCUCUUGCUUACAAUUUUGGUAAUGUAGUGUUUAUUGAAGAAUGCAGUAUAACUCUGUAUCCUUAAGUGUUUGCUGUGCUAACAUAGGCAUCACAAAUAACAAUAUUCUGUGAUGUAAAGUAGCUUGUCUACUGUGGUUGCUUCUUGAAUGCAUUGGUAGGUCACUGGGAACACUGAGUCUACUUCUGGUCUAUAUUCUAUUUUCACUUCGCUUGUGCUGAAUUUAUUCACUUGCUCUGUUGCUCUAAAUGAAGAUAUAUUUUGUCCUUGGAUUUCUUUGAGUCAGUUGUCUUUCUUUAUUGUACAUUUUUCUUCAUCGGUUCUUUAUUUCCCUGCAUAUAAUUGGAGGUAGACACUGAGAUUUUCAACUUGUGCUCUAACUCUGAUUAUUUCCCUUGACGUUUCUGGUGCAGGGUCCCCUUGCUGCCACAGCUCUACAGCACCUGACAAAGGAAGAUUUGAGCAAGGUGUACUUUAGCGACUUUCGGAUCUUGGAUAUCAAUGGGGUGCCUUGCUUUCUUACACGAACAGGGUAUGUUGCUUUCUGGACAUUGUAUCUGUUGAUCACUGUCUUUAUGUGAAGAGAGGGCAUAAUGAGAACUUACCUUCUGGGAGUUAUGCCAACAGUUUACUUUAUCUUUCCGAAAUAGAAUUGAUAAACCAGAAAAAAAUCUUAAGUCCAGCGAAAAGCCAUGGCAGGGUUGAUUAGAUUGGCAUAAAUUGAUAACUUUGUUAUUUCAUCUUGCUUCCAGAUUGUUCUGCAAUUAUCAGAAGUAAAUUUCCCUUCACUCCCUCCUCACUGAUGUCAUAUGUUUUCUCUCUUCGUGCUUUUGAACUCUUACCCUUUUGUUGGAGAAAAAAACACGGGUUUUUCAAAACAUGAGUCAGUCAAGUUUAUGAACUUUCAGGUAUACAGGUGAAGAUGGGUUUGAAAUUUCAGUUCCUUCAGAGCAUGCAGUUGAUCUGGCAAAAGCUAUACUGGAGAAAUCUGAAGGCAAAGUACGGUUGACAGGAUUAGGCGCCCGAGACAGUCUUCGACUGGAAGCUGGGUUGUGCUUGUAUGGAAAUGACAUGGAACAGCACACCACACCAGUCGAGGCAGGACUUACGUGGGCCAUAGGUAAGAGAAGACGGGCUGAAGGAGGAUUCCUUGGUGCUGAAGUAAUACUCAAACAAAUCGAACAGGGACCAUCCAUUAGGCGAGUUGGUUUUUUCUCCUCAGGUCCACCUCCAAGAAGUCACAGUGAAAUUCAGGAUGAGAAGGGGCAAAACAUAGGGGAAGUCACCAGUGGAGGGUUUAGCCCCUGUCUGAAGAAAAACAUAGCCAUGGGAUAUGUGAAAUCUGGACUCCACAAGGCAGGCACCAAUGUAAAAAUUAUCAUUAGGGGUAAGUCCUAUGAUGGAGCUGUUACAAAAAUGCCUUUUGUACCCACAAAGUACUACAAGCCAUCUUAAUUGUUUGUUGGCUCCUGAAAUUUUCAGAUUUUCAUAUCUGAAUUGUUUUUCAGUAAUACUAAAGAUGCUUUAAUCAGUUCUGAUCUUCAUUACUGUUGAGUUUGCCAAGUUAAAUGAAGUACUCUGUUUUAUGUGAACUAGAAAUUGAACUUGUAGGGCAUCUUUGUUACAAUGUACUGGACUCGAAUCCAUUAUUGUUUUACAUGCAGAAGACCUUAAACAACAGAAUACAACAGGAAGAUACUGGGGUUAUGAAAACACAGAUUCAUGCAUAAAAAC